AAGCGGAGACUGAUAAAGCAAGGUUUUUGUCAAAGAUACAGGGCAUGACAAAAACAGAGAUGGAUGGUUGGUACUCAAUGGUGAACAUAGUCUCUGUUUUCUGUUAUCACAUUAAAAUUCCAUCACCUGUAUUUUCUCUCUAGUUCUUUCUUCAAAAGGUAGAUUUAGCUGAUUGAAAGCUAUCAAUUCUCCUGCCAAAUCAUCACCACACCAUUUCAACUCUAUCAGGACAAAUAUUCUUCAUUCACUCAAGCUAUAUAGAAAGGCAUUGUAUUCUAUUCCUUUUUCUUAUUUCUGCUUGUUUAUAUUUCAUCAGGAAACAUAACUUUCCCCUGUUUUCUUUAACAUUUCUCUAAUUGUUCCAAAUCUAAAAUCUUCAUUAUCAUAUACCACAACUUAUUCUUUUUCUCUUUGUAGGAAAGUGUCUUUUGGCUCUUUAAGGGGAUGUAAAAGGGCAAUAAAUUCAGUGGAUAUACACACAGAAAAUAAGUUUUCAAAUACAUAUUUCCUAUGAAUCUUUGUUUUCCAUAGAGAUUCCUCCUUAGUGUCACAACAGAGCCACAUUUUCCCAGAGCAGAAAAUCACAUCAGGAAUCCUCUGAUAAUGUUAUGAAGAUGCUUGUAUGUUUUAUAAACCAGACAACAAUUAUGCCGAGGAGUGGAUUUGCAGCCUGAGUCCUCCUGCUCCUUUUGGUGUAAAUUUGAUGAAAGGUUAACCUUAGGCAGGAGAGAAGGCAGAAAACCACACUAAGCACUUCUUAGCAGGCAGGGCAGAAAGAACACGGACAACAUUAGGAGCUCUUCUCAUCUGUGCCUAGCGAUGGGUGACAUAUGACACACCUGUUGAAUCUUUUGGGAACUGGAAGAAUGAAAAGUGGAUAACGUGAUGAUCAGGUGUUCAAGAGAGUGUUCAAGAGAGUUUCAGAUGUAAUCCAGGACACGCAUCAAUGCACUAGCUCCACAAAGAAUGAGCCCUGGGUGAAAAAGCACGUGUCGGAAAAACAAACGGAUGUGCAGAGGCGUUAGAGGACCUGCUGUAGACAGAAAGGUAAGAAGAUAUCAUUUGGCUGAAAGAAUGAAGAAAAAAAAUAGGUGGACUCUAUGGCGUAGGUGACUGCAAAUGGAAUACCUUUCACCUCUAAUUGACUGACUGAAAUGGAGGCAGUCUCCAUAGAGACUGAAAUUCCUCCGUGAGAGAUGGCAGUUCCGCAGGGAGGCUGGAGAUGGAGGGCUGUGUCUCCAUCGCUAAGAGCUAGGGAGCAUGACAUCAGGACUGGAUUCACUGGUUUCCAUAGCUAAUCUGAGCUCUUAUCAGCCCUCUAUAUUUUAAAAUACAGUGCUCUUUAAGAGGAUUCAAUUUAAAGAAUUAUAACUUGUUUAUGUUAAUACAUUGAGGCUUGGGGAAAUUUUUGAAUCAACCUAGUUCUUAAACUACUGCUCACACUAUUAAGCUUCAUGUCAUAUCCAUCAAUAUAUAUCGGAUUUUGCUCCUUCUGUAUGAUUCUGCUCUGAAAUCCUGUGAUUAUAUUGUCACAAAUAGGUGUUAUGAUUUAAGGAUUCAUGAAUUGUGCCUCUCAGAGAUAGGUUGAAAUUUAAUAAUAAAAUAAAACAUUUUACUAAAAAAAUAAAGUAGAAAAGGAUGCCUUCCAUUAACCCCUAAACCAUCCUUUUGCUUGUGUCCUCCACCCCACGUUCUUCUGUUUCUUCAGUGACCUCACUGGCUGCUUCUCAGCUUCAAAUAUUUCUUCUCUUGAAUUCUCUUGCCCUAUAUGGCAUCUAAGUGUUGGGCCUCCUCAGAAUUAUAUUCAGGCCCUUAUCAUAUCUGCAGUGAAAGGCCUCCUAAACUGUUGGUCCCCUGUCUUCAAACUCCCAUCCAGGUCUCUCCACUCUUCAACUCUGAGGAAAGGAUUUUUUUAAAACAUAAAUGGGAUCAUGUUACUUCUCUGCUUAAAUCCCUUUCAUGGCUUUCUCUUACAGAAACAAUAAAACUCAAAACUCUUUGCAGGGCUCUGCAUUCAGUGUUCCUUAUAAUUGCCUGUCUCUCUUCUUUUCAUUCAAUAUACUGCAGCCAUGUUUUUGCUCAUUUCUCAAAGAUGCUAAAUCUGUAUCGUCUACUUCUAGCAUUCUUUACACAACUUUUCAGAUGACUAGUUCUCUUUCUCUCCCUUUGUUCUCAUUUUAUACACAAUUGAUUCAAAGACGUUUUUCCUGAUAAUCAAUUUAAAAUAUCCCCAAAUCUUAUUCCCAAUAUUAAUCCUUAUGAUACCCCCUUCAAAAACAUACUAGAAUCUGGGGCCGGCUCCGUGGCCGAGUGGUUAAGUUCGCGGGCUCCGCUGCAGCAGCCCAGGGUUCAGAUCCUAGGCACGGACAUGGCACCGCUCGUCAGGCCACGUUGAGGCGCCAUCCCACAUCCCACAAGUAGAAGGACCUGCAACUAAGAUAUACAACU
Molecule: long non-coding RNA, 2448 nt
Organism: Equus caballus (horse)
Lineage: Eukaryota; Metazoa; Chordata; Mammalia; Perissodactyla; Equidae
Source: Ensembl